GAGCCAGUGUCUUCACUAUCCCAUAAUUUUUGGUUUAGUCUCAGCCUCCUCUUGUUGCCUCUCUUUCAGCUUCAUUUUACUCUCAGGAUGGAAGAGCUGAGCCUCCAUGUUCAUGCCCAGAGUCUUGCUCUGUUGCCCAGGCUGGAGUGCAAUGGUGUGGUCUCAGCUCACUGCAACUUCCACUUCUCAGGUUCAAGCAAUUCUCCUGC
RNAcentral lists this long non-coding RNA (209 nucleotides) under Callithrix jacchus (white-tufted-ear marmoset). Its description in RNAcentral is "lncRNA (ENSCJAG00000082131.1)". The record is from RNAcentral. Lineage: Eukaryota; Metazoa; Chordata; Mammalia; Primates; Cebidae.